RNAcentral lists this transfer RNA (75 nucleotides) under compost metagenome. RNAcentral describes it as "tRNA-Gly". It matches the Rfam family "tRNA". Rfam says of the family: Transfer RNA (tRNA) molecules are approximately 80 nucleotides in length. Their secondary structure includes four short double-helical elements and three loops (D, anti-codon, and T loops). Further hydrogen bonds mediate the characteristic L-shaped molecular structure. tRNAs have two regions of fundamental functional importance: the anti-codon, which is responsible for specific mRNA codon recognition, and the 3' end, to which the tRNAs corresponding amino acid is attached (by aminoacyl-tRNA synthetases). tRNAs cope with the degeneracy of the genetic code in two manners: having more than one tRNA (with a specific anti-codon) for a particular amino acid; and 'wobble' base-pairing, i.e. permitting non-standard base-pairing at the 3rd anti-codon position. The record is from RNAcentral.
GCGGGUGUAGCUCAGUGGUAGAGCUUCUGCCUUCCAAGCAGAAUGUCGUGGGUUCGAACCCCAUCGCCCGCUCCA